This 439-nucleotide ribosomal RNA is filed under the name uncultured bacterium. RNAcentral describes it as "partial 16S ribosomal RNA". It matches the Rfam family "Bacterial small subunit ribosomal RNA", at positions 339 to 795 of the family's 1533-position model. The record is from RNAcentral.
CUACGGGUCGCUCCAGUGAGGAAUAUUGCACAAUGGGGGGAACCCUGAUGCAGCAACGCCGCGUGGAGGAUGACGCAUUUCGGUGUGUAAACUCCUUUUAUAUGUCAAGAAAAUGACGGUAGCAUAUGAAUAAGCACCGGCUAACUCCGUGCCAGCAGCCGCGGUAAUACGGAGGGUGCAAGCGUUACUCGGAAUCACUGGGCGUAAAGGACGCGUAGGCGGGUUGGAAAGUCAGGUGUGAAAUCCUACAGCUUAACUGUAGAACUGCACUUGAAACUUCUAAUCUAGAGUAUGGGAGGGGGAGAUGGAAUUAGUGGUGUAGGGGUAAAAUCCGUAGAUAUCACUAGGAAUACCUAAAGCGAAGGCGAUCUCCUGGAUCAUUACUGACGCUAAGGCGUGAAAGCGUGGGGAGCAAACAGGAUUAGAUACCCUCGUAGUC